UGUAAUAGUUGAUGGAGAAGAGUCUGUUGUAAACUGUAGUAGUGUUAUAUGCCCAACAUGUUUGUGUGUAGUUUUAGAGGCAAAAGCCUGUUUGCUGAGGCUUAAUAUAACGCUCCCUGCUCUUUUGUUUUCGUGUCUUGUAGCUGAGCUGUCUCUGGAGAGAGUCAAAAGAACUUAGGCAAAAGAAUGAAAAAGGUUGGAUUGCUUAGCCAUGAAUCAGGGCCUGGCUGAUAUAGGAUACCAAUGCCUAUUGUAUCUUUAGGCUGCAGUGUCAGGCUGAGGGUGAGAGUUGAUCUUCAGUAAGGGCAGGCAAUGAGAAGCUUGAAACACAGAAAGGAAUUGAACAAUGACUAAAGGAUAAUGCCAUUAAUUUCUGGAACCUUCUGCUUCUGGAGAACCAUGUGCGCAAGCAGAGAAGGAGGAGGAAUUCAGAGUGGUUGGUGGUAGGUAUAUUUUGGUAAUUUGUCUACCCCCAAUUUAUCAGGUCAU
Molecule: long non-coding RNA, 489 nt
Organism: Parus major (Great Tit)
Lineage: Eukaryota; Metazoa; Chordata; Aves; Passeriformes; Paridae
Exons: 3
Source: RefSeq, a predicted model, not a curated record